This is a non-coding RNA of Aedes aegypti (yellow fever mosquito), 46 nucleotides long. The record is from Rfam. Lineage: Eukaryota; Metazoa; Arthropoda; Insecta; Diptera; Culicidae.
CCAUCGGUUCUUUUCAGAGCCAUCAAAUUAGUGGAAAAGAGUGAAA